UCAUAAUUUCAGGAUUUGCCUUGCCCAAAAGUAGGAGAGACCACCUGAAUUUAGGAAUUUGUAGUAGGAAUUCAUAGUAAAAGUAUUGGUGGUGGUCUAUUUGGAAGAAUAGGUAUGAGAUUCUACCAUGUUGAUGGAGUCCAACAGAUAGUAGUGCAGCUUUGAGUGCUCAUUCUGGAUAAAUUGAUCCAAUGGCAUGUUGACUAGAUGGCUUGAGGGGAGAUAUUUGAGUCCCUGAUUUGCUUUGAUCCUUUGACAGGAGAAUCCCAAGCAAAGGCAAAGAAGGGAAGUUGGUGGCAAUGGUAGUACUGGAGGGGAGCUAGGGAUCUUACCAAACUCUAAGGUGAACACCAUUCCCUAAUUUAAUUUGCAAGCUGCAUAGGAAGCUAUUAAAGCAUUGCAGCAUAACUUUCCAAAAAUGGGAUGCAAGAACUUCUAGACUCUUGGAGGUGAAGAAUGGAGAACUUCUUGCGUAAUAAUAAAGGUUGGAAAUGUCCAAGCCAUGCCCCUAAGCGAGCCCGUCCUAAAUUAUUUUGUCAACCUUCAGGCUGGGCUUAGAUCCAAAAAUUUUGGGUUUUUCUGGAUGGGAGCUGGGUGCAAUUCUUGGUGGCCGAAAUGAAGGAAAGUGUUUGAAAGAAGGAGAGACUAAGGACACGCAUUCCUAUUUUCUAAGAGUGGGAUUUUAGAAGGAAAUUCCUUAAUUGUGGGCGUGGGAAUUGGUUUAGGAAGUUUACUUGCUUAUGGAGUAUUUUAUUUUAGGAAGUCUGGUUUUAGUAUACUCCUUGAUUUAAGGAGGAUUACUUGUCUUUAAUUUAGGAAAUUUGAAAUUGAAAUUUGAAUUGUCCAUUAAUUUAGAAAGUUGUUGAGGUCUUUAGGAGGUCCUUUAAAUAUUUGCCUCUUAUAUUUUGUAUGGACAUUUUUGUAUCAAUGAAAAAACCUGAAACACUUUGCUCAAACUUUGUCUUGAAAUAGUCUAGAUGCUAACCCAAGUUAGUCCUAGCUCUAUCUAUCAUUUUUUCUUGAUUUUAGGUGCUGCCUUGAGGUAGUCCUUGAAUCACCAACCACCCAACAUGCGAAUUAUACUUAAUUUUUCUAUAUACCAAAAGAGAGGCUUCCAUCACCCUACCAUGGUCCUCCACUGCCCUACUUCCCUCCUCUCCUCUUCUUAAUUAAUCUCAUGGGUAACUGCCCCAUUCUUUGCAUCUUCCCUCCUCUCCUCUUCUUAAUUAAUCUCAUGGGUAACUGCCCCAUUCUUUGCAUCUUUAAGCAUUAGCUGUAGCCCUACCAAUUCGCUCUCCAACUCCUCCAGCGAGAGCCCAGCUGAAAAUGUACACGAGCCCUAAUUCUAAGCCCAACCUGAUCUAAAA
This 1367-nucleotide long non-coding RNA is filed under the name Phoenix dactylifera (date palm). Its description in RNAcentral is "long non-coding RNA (PDAC_LNC014280)". The record is from RNAcentral. Lineage: Eukaryota; Viridiplantae; Streptophyta; Magnoliopsida; Arecales; Arecaceae.